This 2202-nucleotide ribosomal RNA is filed under the name Triticum aestivum (bread wheat). RNAcentral's name for it is "partial small subunit ribosomal RNA". The record is from RNAcentral. Lineage: Eukaryota; Viridiplantae; Streptophyta; Magnoliopsida; Poales; Poaceae.
AUGGACAAAGCUCCGGCGGCAGCAGCAGCCAACAAGGUUGGCAAUCCUCCGGCGGCAGCAGCAGCCAACAACCUUGCCAAUCCUCCGGCGGUUGCGGUGGUGGUGAAUGUGGUCGUCAAUCCACCAGCGAAUGUGGUCGUCAAUCCACCAGCAGAGGCGGCGCCGCCAGCGUGUGGAGCUGCGGACGUUCUGCUGCUGAUAUGUUUGCUCGGCAUUUUGGCGUUGGUAUCGACAGACGGGCUGUGGCCGGGGUACACGGUGGUGAUUCCCAAUUCUCGUGCGGUCAAUUUCAUUUCAUCGGAAACACAUGAAGGCCUUACUCUCGUGGGAGCGGCGGCCUUAUGCUGGGCACUGUGGCUUACCAGGAAUGAUGUGAUCUUCAAUAACAAAUGUGUCUCAUCUCCUAUGCAAGUUAUUCAUGUUUGUGCACGAUGGCUCCAUACUUGGUCUAUCCUGCAGAGGCCGGAGAACAGGGACCUUUUUAUAAUGGCGUCUACACGGCUGGAGCGUUCGGCCAGGGAGGUUUUCUACCCCCAUGGAUGGCGGCCUUACUCUCACUCAAGCAACGCAGCGCUGUGGAAGAGUAUCGGCAGCAGAUUUCAGUCCACAACCCAUAGUACGACGAGCAAUUCUUUGUAUCCCAAUUUAUCCGUGGCCUGUCUAUUGCCACAAGUUCAGCAGGAGGUAACUGAAGAUCUCAUACAGUGGGCUGGGCACCUCGUCCCUUCCUGCAGCAUGGCCGUACUGAACAUCUGGGACACAAACCAGAGGUACCCGAACACUUUGGUAGCUCGGGGAUUUUGGGCGUACCGAUACACUUUGUUUUCGCUCCGGGGAACAGGCUUUGAGCCGCCGUUGGAGCUCCGUGGGGCAAGGCCCAGGCGGGGGACGACGGCGGCAACACAUGAUGACUUUGAUUUCUUGGUGCUUCUCGAGUACCCAGUCUCGAGCUCCGGCGUGAAAAUCUUAGGUGAAACCAAGGAUCUAACCAUUGGUGGUUGGAUCCGGUCUUGGGCUCAUGAUAAAAGAGGUAUUUUCAGUGCCCGCUCAGCCUACCGAAUGAUGGUUCAGACCAAGUACAAUCAAGAAGAGGGUGGCUAUUUCAUAAAUCUGGGUCAUCGACAACUGCUGCUGAAGGAGGGGAUUUGGUGUAAGCUUUGGAGUACUCUUGUCCCGUCGAAUAUAAAGUAUGGCUCCCUCCCUAUGAUGCUCUUCGUUGCGAAGAGAAGACUUCUGGCGUCAUGCUCUUCUAGACUGUUCCAUGUCUAUAAGUGUAUGGGCAUUGCUCCGGUUUCACAUGCGAUGCCUCAUGUGAACGUCCAAACUCCACACGCGGUUUCCACUGUCCAUCUGGAGUUUUUCCCGGAACGGGAGCCUCGGGGCUGUCCUACUGGAGCCUUUGCUACACCUGAAAUGAUAAACAAAUUAUUGUCGAUCUACUCCAUCGGUUGGCCGCUGGCCACUACUACUACUGCUUGCUCGGUUCAUUCCAUCGUUGGUUACAGAAAACCCUCCGCUCCACAGCGCAUACUCUGCUCCAUCUCUUACCGCUCUCUCCGCAAGCGUGCUCGGACACCAUGGACGCUCCUCCGGCAGCCGCAGCGGCCAACAACGUGGCCAAUCCACCGGCAGUGGCGGCGGCCAAUCCUCCGGCGCCGGGAGCAGCGCGAAUGCCAAUGCCUGGAAGAAGAAGAAGAAGGACAACAAGUGUUGCAUGAUGUUUCUGGUCGUUGGGAAGACCUUCCUGGCUCUGCUGAUGGUAGCUCUUGCAGUGAACAACGUGGCCAAUUCUCCGGCGCCGGCAGCAGCGGUAAUGUGCUUGACAAUCUAGAAGACCAGAAUCUGAUCUUCUCAAGACGUUGCGCUGCUGAUACUUUGGCUCCUCUCUUUGGCGAUGAGCGUUGUUAUGCUCGUGCUGCUGUGCAUCGAAAAGUAGAGAAUCUAUAUCACGUCUGGAGUAGAUUGCAGGAGUGCGCCACCCGAUCGAUGAGGACGACGCAACGCAGCGAUGUGGAAGAGUAUCAGCAGCAGUUCGAGGAGCUUUUGAAUCAGGUUCCGGCAGAGCUUGUCCAUAAUGCCUUGUCCGGAACCGAAUCUCCAGACAACCAAGUCCUGAUGAUUCUUGUCAGACCCCGGAAGCAGCUACAGCUUCCUCAAUGCAGCCACGUUACACGAGAGCUCCUAUGUACCCCAUACGUCUAA